CGAGAGGCGGGGAGGUUCCCCAGCCCAGAUUGCAAGAGGGUGCAGGCCAGGCCAAGGGACCCCACCAGUGCACG
This 74-nucleotide microRNA precursor is filed under the name Myotis brandtii (Brandt's bat). RNAcentral describes it as "mir-9193 microRNA precursor family". It matches the Rfam family "mir-9193 microRNA precursor family". The record is from Rfam by way of RNAcentral. Lineage: Eukaryota; Metazoa; Chordata; Mammalia; Chiroptera; Vespertilionidae.